Molecule: ribosomal RNA, 495 nt
Filed under: uncultured bacterium
Lineage: Bacteria
Description: partial 16S ribosomal RNA
Rfam family: Bacterial small subunit ribosomal RNA
Source: RNAcentral
GACGAACGCUGGCGGCGUGCCUAAUACAUGCAAGUAGAACGCUGAAGGAGGAGCUUGCUUCUCUGGAUGAGUUGCGAACGGGUGAGUAACGCGUAGGUAACCUGCCUGGUAGCGGGGGAUAACUAUUGGAAACGAUAGCUAAUACCGCAUAAUAGUAGAUGUUGCAUGACAUUUACUUAAAAGGUGCAAUUGCAUCACUACCAGAUGGACCUGCGUUGUAUUAGCUAGUUGGUGGGGUAACGGCUCACCAAGGCGACGAUACAUAGCCGACCUGAGAGGGUGAUCGGCCACACUGGGACUGAGACACGGCCCAGACUCCUACUGGAGGCAGCAGUAGGGAAUCUUCGGCAAUGGACGAAAGUCUGACCGAGCAACGCCGCGUGAGUGAAGAAGGUUUUCGGAUCGUAAAGCUCUGUUGUAAGAGAAGAACGAGUGUGAGAGUGGAAAGUUCACACUGUGACGGUAUCUUACCAGAAAGGGACGGCUAACUACGUG